RNAcentral lists this unclassified non-coding RNA (243 nucleotides) under Hevea brasiliensis (rubber tree). The record is from RNAcentral. Lineage: Eukaryota; Viridiplantae; Streptophyta; Magnoliopsida; Malpighiales; Euphorbiaceae.
AACUGACUAUGAUCUGGGCUGCAGGAAUUAUUAUUCAAUUUUAAAGAGCUGGUUGACAGCAUCGGAUCCUUGUGGCCUCAAUAUCUAGGUUAAGAUCUUUCAUGGCCAAAUUUAUUGCGAUUUACAUAAGUGUUUUCACAUUUUUGGUAACCUCUUGAUCUGGCAGCUGUCAAAUAGAAUCUUAAACCCUCCAUUCAAAAUACAUAUGGUUCUUGUUUGUGCCUAUUUGUAUUUCUUCUCGCC